Molecule: non-coding RNA, 101 nt
Organism: Mesocricetus auratus (golden hamster)
Lineage: Eukaryota; Metazoa; Chordata; Mammalia; Rodentia; Cricetidae
Source: Rfam
AUCUGUACGACUCGGAUCUGUGUCGCUGUAUCUGGGUGGCUUGAGAAGGAGCUGACAAGCUCAGACUUCUCCCCGACCACCCUGGAAGACGUUCCAGGGAU